Molecule: ribosomal RNA, 253 nt
Filed under: uncultured bacterium
Lineage: Bacteria
Description: partial 16S ribosomal RNA
Rfam family: Bacterial small subunit ribosomal RNA
Source: RNAcentral
UACGUAGGCAGCGAGCGUUGUUCGGAGUUACUGGGCGUAAAGCGUGCGUAGGCGGUGACUUAAGUUUGUUGUGAAAUCUCCCGGCUUAACCGGGAGGGUGCGGCGAAUACUGAGAUGCUGGAGUGCCGGAGAGGUAAGCGGAAUUCCUGGUGUAGCGGUGAAAUGCGUAGAUAUCAGGAGGAACACCUGCGGUGUAGACGGCUUACUGGACGGUAACUGACGCUGAGGCACGAAAGCGUGGGUAGCAAACAGG